CAGUCGCCGCGGUAAUACGAAGGGGGCUAGCGUUGUUCGGAUUUACUGGGCGUAAAGCGCACGUAGGCGGACUUUUAAGUCAGGGGUGAAAUCCCGGGGCUCAACCCCGGAACUGCCUUUGAUACUGGGAGUCUUGAGUUCGAGAGAGGUGAGUGGAAUUGCGAGUGUAGAGGUGAAAUUCGUAGAUAUUCGCAGGAACACCAGUGGCGAAGGCGGCUCACUGGCUCGAUACUGACGCUGAGGUGCGAAAGCGUGGGGAGCAAACAGGAUUAGAUACCCGCGUAGUCCCUGUCUCUUAUAC
This 301-nucleotide ribosomal RNA is filed under the name uncultured bacterium. RNAcentral's name for it is "partial 16S ribosomal RNA". It matches the Rfam family "Bacterial small subunit ribosomal RNA", at positions 509 to 807 of the family's 1533-position model. The record is from RNAcentral.